RNAcentral lists this long non-coding RNA (1362 nucleotides) under Camarhynchus parvulus. Its description in RNAcentral is "lncRNA (ENSCPVG00000010419.2)". Lineage: Eukaryota; Metazoa; Chordata; Aves; Passeriformes; Thraupidae. The record is from RNAcentral.
AUGAGUUUUUUUUUAUUCCAGUUUGAAAAUGCAAAAAAAAAGAAGAAAUCCGCCCAUUGCUACUUUAAAGAAGACCAACUCCUCCCUGUGUGUAAAGACCAUUUUUUUAAUCACUUUAUUCAUAUCAGCAAGGCCCAGUUUUCAGUAGUUUACACUUCUCAUGGACAACGAUACAGAAUUUGCAGUUGCAUGGACAGAAUUAACCUGGACACAUCCACUACACGGGGCAGGGGCUGCGGAGACGUCCUGGCCACGCUCCCAGGGCUUCCCCUGGGGCUGGCAGCACCCAGAGCCCUGGUACAGCUCAGGGCAGCACCCACAGCCCUGGCAGGGCUCAGGGCAGCACCCAGAGCCUUGGCAGAGCUCAGGGCAGCACCCACAGCCCUGCAGAGCUCAGGGCAGCACCCACAGCCCUGGUACAGCUCAGGGCAGCACCCACAGCCCUGCAGAGCUCAGGGCAGCAUCCACAGCCCUGGCAGAGCUCAGGGGCGCAGGCUCAGGGCAGCACCCAGAGCCCUGGCAGGGGUGCCCAGGGCUGCAGGAACAGGGCUCAGGGCAGCACCCACAGCCCUGCAGGGCUCAGGGCAGCACCCACAGCCCUGCAGAGCCCAGGGCAGCAUCCACAGCCCUGGUACAGCUCAGGGCAGCACCCACAGCCCUGCAGGGCUCAGGGCAGUACCCAGAGCCUUGGCAGAGCCAGGGCAGCACCCACAGCCCGGCAGGCCAGGGCCCUACCCAGCACCCAGAGCCUUGGCAGAGCUCAGGGCAGCAUCCACAGCCCUGGCAGAGCUCAGGGCAGCAUCCACAGCCCUGCAGGGCUCAGGGCAGCACCCACAGCCCUGCAGAGCUCAGGGCAGCAUCCACAGCCCUGGUACAGCUCAGGGCAGCACCCACAGCCCUGGUACAGCUCAGGGCAGCACCCACAGCCCUGCAGAGCUCAGGGCAGCACCCACAGCCCUGCAGGGCUCAGGGCAGCAUCCACAGCCCUGCAGAGCUCAGGGCAGCAUCCACAGCCCUGGCAGAGCUCAGGGCAGCACCCACAGCCCUGCAGAGCCCAGGGCAGCAUCCACAGCCCUGGUACAGCUCAGGGCAGCAUCCACAGCCCUGGCAGAGCUCAGGGCAGCACCCAGAGCCCUGGCAGGGGUGCCCAGGGCUGCAGGAACAGGGCUCAGGGGUCACCAGUGCCCCCAGCAGCCAGGGGACACUGCUGGCUUUGGCUCUGCUCCACAGCUGCACCUGGGGCUGGGGUGGAAUUUCUUGUGGGUUUUUUUUUUUAGGGAUGAAAAAGUCUUGGGGACAACACUCUCCAGACAAGGAUUUCAGUGUUCUGAUGGUGAAAAGGUCAAAGCUUUUAAAAAAUAA